GCUGGCGGCAUGCUUAACACAUGCAAGUCGAACGGUAGCAGGCCUUCGGGCGCUGACGAGUGGCGGACGGGUGAGGAAUACGUAGGAAUCUGCCUAGUAGUGGGGGAUAACGUGGGGAAACUCACGCUAAUACCGCAUACGCUCUACGGAGGAAAGCGGGGGCUCGCAAGACCUCGCGUUACUAGAUGAGCCUACGUCGGAUUAGCUAGUUGGUAGGGUAAAGGCCUACCAAGGCGACGAUCCGUAGCUGGUCUGAGAGGAUGAUCAGCCACACUGGGACUGAGACACGGCCCAGACUCCUACGGGAGGCAGCAGUGGGGAAUAUUGGACAAUGGGGGCAACCCUGAUCCAGCAAUGCCGCGUGUGUGAAGAAGGCCUUCGGGUUGUAAAGCACUUUCAUCAGGAAAGAAAAGCUUGUGGCUAAUACCCAUGAGUCUUGACGUUACCUGCAGAAGAAGCACCGGCUAACUCUGUGCCAGCAGCCGCGGUAAUACAGAGGGUGCAAGCGUUAAUCGGAAUUACUGGGCGUAAAGCG
This 535-nucleotide ribosomal RNA is filed under the name uncultured soil bacterium. RNAcentral's name for it is "bacterial SSU rRNA". It matches the Rfam family "Bacterial small subunit ribosomal RNA", at positions 35 to 567 of the family's 1533-position model. The record is from RNAcentral.